UGGUGUCCAUCCGCUGUAACAGCAACUCCAUGUGGGAGGGGUCCGUGGUCCCCGUGGGGCUGCUGUUAUUCUGGACGGGCAC
MicroRNA precursor from Alligator mississippiensis (American alligator), 82 nucleotides. It matches the Rfam family "mir-194 microRNA precursor family". Rfam says of the family: The hairpin precursors (represented here) are predicted based on base pairing and cross-species conservation -- their extents are not known. The record is from Rfam. NCBI's taxonomy places the organism in Eukaryota, Metazoa, Chordata, Crocodylia, Alligatoridae.